AAUUAAAAAGGUUUGGCGGUAAACUAGACUUAUUAGAGGAACUUGUGUCGUGAAUGAUAGUCCGCAAAUAUCUUACUUACAGAUGUUAUCAGCUUAUAUACCGUCGUUUUUAGAAUAACUUAAAAGAGAUUUUUCUUAGGUUUUUAUGAAAGGAAUUCAGAUCAAGGUGUAGCUAAUAUGUAAGGUGAGCAUGAGUUACAAUAGGGGGACCUAAACGGAAGGAUAAUGAAAUUUAUACGGAAGGUGGAUUUAAAUGUAAAUUUGCAAGAUGACAGCAAUUUGAAUGAGCACUGGAUUAUGU
RNAcentral lists this ribosomal RNA (301 nucleotides) under Newportia divergens. Its description in RNAcentral is "partial 12S ribosomal RNA". Lineage: Eukaryota; Metazoa; Arthropoda; Chilopoda; Scolopendromorpha; Scolopocryptopidae. The record is from RNAcentral.